UUUAUUGGAGAGUUUGAUCCUGGCUCAGGACGAACGCUGGCGGCGUGCCUAAUACAUGCAAGUCGAGCGGACCUGAUGGAGUGCUUGCACUCCUGAUGGUUAGCGGCGGACGGGUGAGUAACACGUAGGCAACCUGCCCGUAAGACCGGGAUAACUACCGGAAACGGUAGCUAAUACCGGAUAAUCAAGUCUUCCGCAUGGGAGACUUGGGAAAGGCGGAGCAAUCUGUCACUUACGGAUGGGCCUGCGGCGCAUUAGCUAGUUGGUGGGGUAACGGCUCACCAAGGCGACGAUGCGUAGCCGACCUGAGAGGGUGAACGGCCACACUGGGA
This 332-nucleotide ribosomal RNA is filed under the name Paenibacillus macerans. RNAcentral describes it as "bacterial SSU rRNA". It matches the Rfam family "Bacterial small subunit ribosomal RNA", at positions 1 to 318 of the family's 1533-position model. Lineage: Bacteria; Bacillati; Bacillota; Bacilli; Caryophanales; Paenibacillaceae. The record is from RNAcentral.